GCUUAUGGCCAUACCUCCCUGAAUAUGCCCGAGCUCAUCUGAUCUUGGAAGCUAAGCAGGGUCUGGUCCCGAUAGUACCUGGAUUGAAGACUGCCUGGAAUACCAGGUACUUUAAGCU
Molecule: ribosomal RNA, 118 nt
Filed under: Amphilophus citrinellus (Midas cichlid)
Lineage: Eukaryota; Metazoa; Chordata; Actinopteri; Cichliformes; Cichlidae
Source: RNAcentral